AGGGUUUGAUCAUGGCUCAGAACGUACGCUGGCGGCACGCCUAACACAUGCAAGUCGAACGAAGUAGCAAUACUUAGUGGCAGACGGGUGAGUAACAUGUGGGUAUCUGCCCUUUGGCCUGGAAUAACACGAGGAAACUUGUGCUAAUACUGGAUAAGUCUUUACGGAGAAAGCUUUAUGCACCAUUGGAUGAGCCCGCACUUGAUUAGUUUGUUGGUGGGGUAAUGGCCUACCAAGACUUUGAUCAAUAGCUGAUUUGAGAGGAUGAUCAGCCACAUUGGGACUGAGACACGGCCCAAACUCCUACGGGAGGCAGCAGUGGGGAAUCUUGCACAAUGGAGGAAACUCUGAUGCAGCGAUGCCGCGUGAGUGAAGAAGGCCCUUGGGUUGUAAAGCUCUUUCGUCGGGGAAGAAAAUGACUGUACCCGAAUAAGAAGGUCCGGCUAACUUCGUGCCAGCAGCCGCGGUAAUACGAAGGGACCUAGCGUAGUUCGGAAUUACUGGGCUUAAAGAGUUCGUAGGUGGUUGAAAAAGUUGGUGGUGAAAUCCCAGAGCUUAACUCUGGAACUGCCAUCAAAACUUUUCAGCUAGAGUUUGAUAGAGGAAAGCAGAAUUUCUAGUGUAGAGGUGAAAUUCGUAGAUAUUAGAAAGAAUACCAAUUGCGAAGGCAGCUUUCUGGAUCAUUACUGACGCUGAGGAACGAAAGCAUGGGUAGCGAAGAGGAUUAGAUACCCUCGUAGUCCAUGCCGUAAACGAUGUGUGUUAGACGUUGGAAAUUUAUUUUCAGUGUCGCAGCGAAAGCGAUAAACACACCGCCUGGGGAGUACGACCGCAAGGUUAAAACUCAAAUGAAUUGACGGGGACCCGCACAAGUAGUGGAGCAUGUGGUUUAAUUCGAAGAUACGCGCAGAACCUUACCAACACUUGACAUGUUCGUCGCAACUUUAAGAGAUUAAAGUUUUCGGUUCGGCCGGACGAAACACAGGUGCUGCAUGGCUGUCGUCAGCUCGUGUCGUGAGAUGUUGGGUUAAGUCCCGCAACGAGCGCAACCCUCACUUUUAGUUGCCAUCAUUAAGUUGGGCACUCUGAAAGAACUGCCAGUGAUAAGCUGGAGGAAGGUGGGGAUGACGUCAAGUCCUCAUGGCCCUUACGUGUUGGGCUACACACGUGCUACAAUGGUAUCUACAACAGGAAGCGAAACAGCGAUGUUAAGCAAAUCCUUAAAAGAUACCUCAGUUCGGAUUGCACUCUGCAACUCGAGUGCAUGAAGCUGGAAUUACUAGUAAUCGUGGAUCAGCGUGCCACGGUGAAUGCGUUCCCGGGUCUUGUACACACCGCCCGUCACACCAUGGGAGUUGGUUCUACCUUAAGGCAAGGUUUAAUACCCUUGACCACGGUAUAGUCAGCGACUGGGGUGAAGUCGUAACAAGGUAACCGUA
This 1439-nucleotide ribosomal RNA is filed under the name uncultured bacterium. RNAcentral's name for it is "bacterial SSU rRNA". It matches the Rfam family "Bacterial small subunit ribosomal RNA". The record is from RNAcentral.